AUUGAACGCUGGCGGCAGGCCUAACACAUGCAAGUCGAGCGGAGCGGCGGACGGGUGAGUAAUACCUAGGAAUCUGCCUGGUAGUGGGGGAUAACGUCCGGAAACGGACGCUAAUACCGCAUACUAUCAGAUGAGCCUAGGUCGGAUUAGCUAGUUGGUGAGGUAAUGGCCUACCAAGGCGACGAUCCGUAACUGGUCUGAGAGGAUGAUCAGUCACACUGGAACUGAGACACGGUCCAGACUCCUACGGUAGGCAGCAGUGGGGAAUAGUGGACAAUGGGCGAAAGCCUGAUCCAGCCAUGCCGCGUGUGUGAAGAAGGUCUUCGGAUUGUAAAGCACUUUAAGUUGGGAGGCGUUACCAACAGAAUAAGCACCGGCUAACUCCGUGCCAGCAGCCGCGGUAAUAC
RNAcentral lists this ribosomal RNA (407 nucleotides) under uncultured bacterium. RNAcentral's name for it is "partial 16S ribosomal RNA". It matches the Rfam family "Bacterial small subunit ribosomal RNA", at positions 30 to 526 of the family's 1533-position model. The record is from RNAcentral.